UACGGAGGGUGCGAGCGUUAAUCGGGAUCACUGGGCGUAAAGCGCACGUAGGCGGCUUGGUAAGUCACAUGUGAAAGCCCUCGGCUCAACCGGGGAACUGCGUGUGAUACUGCCUUGCUUGAGUCCUGGGGAGGGUGGCGGAAUUCCCGGUGUAGGAGUGAAAUCCGUAGAUAUCGGGAGGAACACCAGUGGCGAAGGCGGCCACCUGGACAGGUACUGACGCUGAGGUGCGAAAGUGUGGGGAGCAAACAGG
RNAcentral lists this ribosomal RNA (253 nucleotides) under uncultured bacterium. Its description in RNAcentral is "partial 16S ribosomal RNA". It matches the Rfam family "Bacterial small subunit ribosomal RNA", at positions 524 to 776 of the family's 1533-position model. The record is from RNAcentral.